Motacilla alba alba is the source of this 2049-nucleotide long non-coding RNA. RefSeq lists it as uncharacterized. NCBI's taxonomy places the organism in Eukaryota, Metazoa, Chordata, Aves, Passeriformes, Motacillidae. The record is from RefSeq and is a predicted model, not a curated record. The transcript has 4 exons.
CCUAGCUAUUUUCUGGGUAAAUUAUCCCCAUGGGAGAGAGGAGAAAUAAAAACACAGAAUGUAAGCAAACAGGGACAAGAUUUGGAAGGAGUCCAUCUUCUGCUUUGAUACGUUUUCCCACUUGUGAUAAGGGAAAGAUUUGAGGGAAGGAAAAAUGGGAGAGGGCAAGGUGAGAGCAGGUUAGGAGAAUAUGUGGUGGGAAGCACCAAACUCUUGUGGCUUGAAGUCUGUUGUCUGCAUUGAGAUGCAUUGGUCAGAAGGCACAGCAUCCUUAGCCUGUCCAAAAAGUCUUCUUCACACGACCUGCUGCUCCAGGAAUCCUGGUUCUCCUUUGUCUCACAACUUCCAAGGAAGGACUGUCAGAGGAAGCUUUUCUGCCCAUCUGAACUUCGGCUCUCCUGCAGCCAGCUCCUGGGCCAGUCUGGUCCUCUCACAGGAAGUUAAAAAUUUCGGGCUGCAGUACUGAAGACAAUACCAAGGAAGACUUUGUGUCACUGUGGUGCAGCCAGGAGGGUCUGUGGGCCUUUCUGAGUAGGUGCACUGGUGGCAGAGAGCCCCUGAGCAGCGCUGCACAGAAGGUCUCAGAAGGACACCAGCUGGCCUAGGCAAUCUGCCUGUCUUACCAUGGCUGGAGACAGCCCUUCAGCAGAGGGAGACUCCAGGCUUUGCCACACCAUGGGCUCUACACAGAGCUCAAACAGCUGAAAUGUAGCCACGGAAAAGUUGCAGGGAAUGGAGCAUGAGCUGAUAUGCUGAAUGUGAUCAGUGACCAGCAGAGACUCCAACCAUGCCUUUCCUGGGAGGCAGGAUGUGAUGCAGGAAGUUCCUGCUGUACAAGCCCAACACUGAAGGAGGAGGCUGAGGUAACAGGUGCUGCUGGUGUACUGAAUUAUCAGCACCGAGGCAACCUGACAAGAAUGAUCAGGACUUUCAAGGGGAGAUGGUGGGAAUGCCACCAGCUGCCAGAAAGGACAACUGAAAGAGAGAAGUAAUUUCUUGCCCACGGUUCAUGUUUACCUUUUCACUGAGGCAUAGGGCAUGGGACUAUUCAGCUGCAGGGUUGAUGAUGUAGCUGUGGAAAACUGGCGAUUAGCUGGGGUGACAGAUCAAAGAGCAGCUUGCCUCUCCAGGGGAGACCUCUGGAUAUGUGCAGACAUGGACUCCACUAUGGAAGCUACUAGGCUUGCAGGGAGAGCAAAAGGAGAUCUCCCUGGGACUGAAGCCCACUGUUUUUAGUUUGUGGUCAUGGCACAUUUGUUUGCAAAGAAGUUUUCAGUCAACCACAAAUCACAAGGUUCAGCCUGCUUGGACUGUGUUUCAGGAACUUUAAACAAACAAACACCAAAUCAUGAGAUAAGGAAAAAAUAAAAUUUCCUGAAGAAAUGCUCUGAGACAUGUGGAAGAUGACCAAACUCUCAUAAAUGACUGUGUGAGCCAGGUUCUUCAAAAUCAUGUUGAAACUCAGCCUUUGGCUUACUACAGGGCUACUGGAACCCACUGUUGGGCUAGAGGAUUCAGUGCAGGGCAUGGCCCAGCCUGCUGGGACCCACACUGCCAAUAGGGGCAGGAGCCAAGUGCUGGUCAGCACUCUCCUUGUGCCUGUGUGUCCCCAGCCUGCAGAUCAGAGGGAUCAGCCUACGUGUGAGCCACACUAUGACCUAUGCAGGCAAUCAGAGCUUUGGAGAUGGAGUGGAUUUGAUCUACUGAUGGUCUUGAUCCUACAGAUCUCCCCUUAGCAGUGAAAUCAGGUGACUUGUUUAUAUAAAACAGUGCACAUAUCAGGUACCUCUUUCUUGGGAGAGGAAUGGCAGCCUGCUGAGGGGAAGUAUAUGGCCUGACAUGCACAGAGGGUGAUAGGAGCCAGUAGGAAACCUGGAUCCUCUUCUCAGAUCAAUCACUGACUCAUGGAUGCGUUGGAUAGGACAUGCUCUGUUUUUAAAAUAUUAUUAUUUAAAAUAAAUAUUUACCAUCUAUCCAUACACUUGCUACAGACUUUUGAAACAAUCACUAGUUGCUAAUCUUACUAAAAUACUUCUCCACCAACCCAUC